RNAcentral lists this long non-coding RNA (2967 nucleotides) under Equus caballus (horse). Its description in RNAcentral is "lncRNA (ENSECAG00000029191.3)". Lineage: Eukaryota; Metazoa; Chordata; Mammalia; Perissodactyla; Equidae. The record is from RNAcentral.
GUGCCUUUCUAAGAGAGCCCCUUGCCCCUUCUGUCAUGUGAGAUUACAGAGAAAAGGUGGCUGUCUGGGGAGCAGGCCCUCAGCAGAUGCAGAAAUGUGCCAGCACCGUGAUCUUGGACUUCCCAGCCUCCAGAACUAGGUGGCCUUUCUCAUGAUUUCUACAGCUUUCGAGUGUGGCAAGCAAUGUCCUGGUUUGCUUAUGUUUGUUCAAUGUUUAAAACCCAUCCCUCAGCCCUAAGAAAAGUGUAAAAGAAGGAUUCGUCCUCCCUUCCUUUGGAUGGCAACACUGCUUUCCUGAGCCUGAGCCCUGAAGGGGUCUUCGAAAAUGUGAUCCGUUGAGUGAGGAGUUCCAGCGGAACGUAGAUUCGCUUCGCAAGGAAGAAAGUUCCACUCGGCUCCCGAUGAAUUUAAUCUCUCAAUUUUCCUCCGUUGCUUGGACGUGCUAGAAUGAAACUCAGAUGAGAUGCUGUGAUAAAGAUCCUUCUUCGUUAGUCUCUCUCACAGCUGGGCUUCAUUUAUGUGCCCAUAAACCAGCUCAUCUUUGCAACACAGGAGCGACUCUGAGCUGGGAAACUGAGCUAAACCAAAAAACAGCAAGCUCUUCAUUCAUGAUCUGCAAAGAUGGGAAGCUGCCAAAUGACACUUCCAGGAAGCUUAUCCAUUUACAAAAUGAUCUUCAUGUUGCAGUCAUUUCAACUGAACCAAGGUGGUGUUUUAUUCCAGAAGAAAGUUGUUUCUUUUUAAGUCGAGGCCAGCAAGCAUUGAUAACAAUUCCUGUGGAAGGUUUCAUCUCCCUCCUGAGGCAUUGCGAAGGCCCCUCUGAAGAUGCAGAGGAUGGAUCUUCGUUAGAUUAAGCCAAUCGUAUGAUUCUGUCCCAUUUACCAGUGUUUGGUUUAAGGACAAGUAUGUGACCCAGCCGCAACCAGUAAAAUAUGAGGUUUCUCUUGAUACUAAAAAAGGCUCAAGGAAGAGACAUUCUCUCCCAUCCUUGGAUAUUGUUGUAUGAGGAGCAGCCUGGAACUGCUGAAAAUAUUUUGUGACCAUGAAGAGACAAAGAUGAAGAUAAGAUUCAUUUUGCUGAGGAAGGCAGAACAGAAAGACAGAAUGUACCCAGCUCCCUGAUCCGCCUUGUUGAAUCACUAAACAAACCGUCCCCAGUAUUGCCUUAGUCUAGACCUCCUAUUAUGUGAGCUAAUAAAUCCCUUUACUGUUUUAGUUGUUGGUUCUCAAUCUUGUUUGUAUGCCAGCCCAGAUGUCCUUUUAAAAGAGCUUCAGUUGAUUUGAAAGGAUAGCCAGGAUUAAGAAUGAUUGGUUUAAGAUAUUUUGAAUUGAGUCUUCUGUUACUUGCAGCCAAUAACAUUCCAACCAGUGGCCUCAGGCAAUGUGCAUAAGUCUUCAAGAGGAUGGGAUAACGGGUGGAGACACUGUGGGAGUCAGGAGGAAGAGCUUUAACUCCUACCAGAGCAUAGUUAAUUCAGAGGGUUUGGCUCAAAUAUUCGUGCUUUCCAUUUUUGGAACAGGACAAGGCUCCAGCCUUAUUAGUUGGCAAGGGAGAAGCUGUAGCAUUGUGUGGGAAGAUGCUUUAUAAAGAUGCUGAUGCAUUGGCAGACACAUUGAGACCUCAUUCCAGGGAGUACACUCCAGAAGUAACUUUGUGUAGCCUUAAGCUACUGUGACUGAUGAUAAUGGACUGGAUUAUUCACGUGGGCUGAGGGAAAUUAAAGAGUAAGAACCACUACCAAAUUUGUGCCUUGCCUAUAGCAUGUGUGGAAGAUUUAACAGCAUCCAUGAGGUAGGAGCUUCAUUCCUACCUGCAUUUUGUGUCCCUGUGUGUGCUUUUUCUUUUUCUCACUAAUUCCUUAAUCCUGCCUUGCUGUGCUGGUUGUUGACCUUGUCCCUCAGUUCUAAGCCCACCUUUCUGUAUUGUGCUCUGGGAUACUGGGGCUGGGGUUCUGAAAACUCUAUUUUCCGGACUCCCUUGCCAAACUUGUUAGGUUCUACCCAUGGGAGGCGCUAAAUGGAGACUGGAAAGCAGAAGGAGAGGAGAAGAGAAUUUUCCUCUUCCCAGUUUCUAUUAGUGUUCCUAGUAGCAGCAGAAGUUAUGGCUUCAAUAUGUUUCAACACUUCCAGCACCAGCUUCACCAUGCUCCAUUAGAAGUACCAGAAGCAGCCACACUUCCUUAUCCAAUGGGCCAUGUUCUCCAGGCCUUCCAGACAUCUUCUAGGUCAGACCUCCUGCUUAGAGAUCUGAACACCAGCCACAGGGUGCCCUCCUCCUCAGAAACCCAAAUAUCUACUGUGGAAGGGGCACCACGGCAUGCCAACCAGUCUUGUGGAGGGCCCUGCUCUAAGCUCCCAAGUUCUUACAGCACGAUUUUCUCCCUUUUAUUCCUCUGGGGGUUGUCACUACUUCCUUCAGUUACUAAUCUCUAGGUUACCUUGGUAUCCUUUUUAUUCUUCCAGCCUUCCAACACCUUUGUAAACAAUUGCUUGAGUUAAAUCCCCUCUGUUUAAAAUACCUGGUGGGAUGGUUAAUUUUAUGGGUCAACUUGACUGGCCUAAGGGACGCCUAGAUAGCUGGUAAAACAUUAUUUCUGGGUGUAUCUGUGUGGGUGUUUCUGGAAGAGACUAGCAUUUGAUUCAGUAGACUGAGUGAAGAGAUUGUCCCUCACCAGUGUGGGUGGCCAACAUCCAAUCCACUGGGGGCCUGAACGGGACAAAAAGGUGAAGAAAGGGUGAAUUCUUUCUGUCCUCUUGAGCUGGGAUGUCCAUUUUCUCCUGCUCUCAGAUAUCAAAGCUCCUAGUUCUUGGGCCUUUGCACUCCAGGACAUGUAGAGGUGGCCCCUGGUUCUCAGGUCUUUGGACUCAGAAUUACACCACCGGCUUUCCUGGUUCUCCAGAUUGUGGAUGGGACUUCUCAGCCUCCAUAACCACAUGAACUAAUUUCUAUUGAAAUCUCCUUUUAUC